RNAcentral lists this ribosomal RNA (296 nucleotides) under Bacillus thuringiensis serovar aizawai. RNAcentral's name for it is "partial 16S ribosomal RNA". It matches the Rfam family "Bacterial small subunit ribosomal RNA", at positions 1 to 284 of the family's 1533-position model. The record is from RNAcentral. Lineage: Bacteria; Bacillati; Bacillota; Bacilli; Caryophanales; Bacillaceae.
UUUAUUGGAGAGUUUGAUCCUGGCUCAGGAUGAACGCUGGCGGCGUGCCUAAUACAUGCAAGUCGAGCGAAUGGAUUAAGAGCUUGCUCUUAUGAAGUUAGCGGCGGACGGGUGAGUAACACGUGGGUAACCUGCCCAUAAGACUGGGAUAACUCCGGGAAACCGGGGCUAAUACCGGAUAAUAUUUUGAACUGCAUGGUUAGAAAUUGAAAGGCGGCUUCGGCUGUCACUUAUGGAUGGACCCGCGUCGCAUUAGCUAGUUGGUGAGGUAACGGCUCACCAAGGCAACGAUGCGU